Molecule: ribosomal RNA, 135 nt
Filed under: uncultured bacterium
Lineage: Bacteria
Description: partial 16S ribosomal RNA
Source: RNAcentral
CACGGAGUUAGCCGGGGCUUCUUCUGCUGGUACCGUCAUUAUCUUCCCAGCUGAAAGAGCUUUACAACCCUAAGGCCUUCAUCACUCACGCGGCAUGGCUAGAUCAGGGUUGCCCCCAUUGUCUAAGAUUCCCCA